Balaenoptera acutorostrata (minke whale) is the source of this 1870-nucleotide long non-coding RNA. RefSeq lists it as uncharacterized. Lineage: Eukaryota; Metazoa; Chordata; Mammalia; Artiodactyla; Balaenopteridae. The transcript is spliced from 4 exons. The record is from RefSeq and is a predicted model, not a curated record.
UGACAUGAUUGUGUCCUGGGAUGGCUCCCACUCGUAUCGCUAUGAAAACAGAAGUUUCAUAAACCAGAGAUGAGUUACUUCAACUCAGUUUAAUUCAAUAAACAGUUAUUGAACAUUUACUGUGUCCAGGAUACCAUUGGCCAUGGUGAAUGAUACAUGAUCCCUCCUAUCAAGAAAUUUGCAAUCUAGUAUGGGAGAAACUAUGCAAAUAAAUGUCCAACCAUAAGAUGACUGCUACGGUAUAGUAACAAGCAAAGAUUUAGGAACUCAGUAGGUAAACAACCACCACCUGUUCACCCCCUCUCCUCCAAAAGAGGAAAAAAAGAAUUUUUCCUUUGAUGACAGCAACACAUGACCCAGGAAGGUUGUGACAGAAAUAAAGUUUACAGAAGUCGUGUUCCUGCGAUAAGAAAUAAAGAUGUGACCUUCCAGUUGUGUAAAGCUCUUAAAUGCUGUGUAAGUGCGUCGGGUGCGCUAAGGACCCUGGAGCUAAAUGGGCUAGUUCUGAGAGAGAGAGACUUAACUAUGUUAACAAGCUGCCAAGCAGUAACGGCUGUCUUUGUACUGAAUCCCGGAAGUGUCUCUGUAUCCUGGAAGUAUUGCAAUGAUCGUCUUCACACCUGCAAAAUAUUCCUGCACCGUGUACACAAAUGAUUAUGGCUCCGCUCUCGGGCCUCACCUGGGAGCUACUGCAUGUGAGGAUCAAAUUGAUACACAUUAGGGCAUCCUCAGCGGUCUUUGGCAAAGGCCUAUAGAUUACCUCGCUAUCCAAUUUGUUAACUGGACAGCAGAGCCUGAGUGGAAAGAACAAUGCGCUCGUCAGUUGGGAAAAGCUCCUCCAGGUAUCAACAGAUACAAGCAAGGCAAUCUCACUGUGCAGGUUGAUUAGAACUGGGUUUGUAUUUUGGACAAUAAACUCUAUUUAUGAUAGUCUCCCAGUCAUUAAGUAUCUCUGCUGUAAGAGAAAACUGGGGCUAUUAACUUCUCCAGAUAGAACCCCAGGGAAAAGUGAUCAUUUCUUUUCUAAGCAGAAGGGAAGGUUCUGCUCAAUAAAGAUCAAUUAAACAUCUCUGUUAAAAGACUGCUUGGAGCUGGUGCCAAAGGAAAUUCCACUGUAUUAACCCGUGCUCCCUCCAACCCUCCCCACCUCUGUAGCUUGCACUGGGGAAAAUUGUAAGAGGACGCUGGCUAUUGUAAGCUUUAUAAGGUGACAGUAGCUCUCACAUCCGUGGCUGAAUGAUCUUUGAUGUUGAGUGACUUUUCCUGCAUUUAGCAGGGGUAUUCCCAGAGGAUGGCAGGCAAAUCAAACGCUCCUCUGAAUUCAGCUGCUAGCAUCAAUCAUCCUCAUGAGGGAGUUAAAAAAAAGAAUAUAACAAUAGGUACCGGGAAAAAUGAUAUGGUGGUCUGAGCUAGUAAUUCCCAGGAUGCAGGAAGAGUUUUGGGGGCCCUAGAAAAUCCACUGCAUAAAGAAAACCCGCCACAAUCUCCACCAGCAUCUUAUAGUUACCACCUCAUUCUUGUCCUUUAAAAUACAGUGUGCUUGUCCUUUAAAAUACAGUGUGUCUUGUACGUUAAAAUACAGUGUGCUUCUACUCUCUGGCUUAGACUGCAUCCUCUCAUGUAAAUUCCAUCUGUUCUUGCUUGAGGGAGGGCAGACACAACCUUGACUUUAUCCUCUUGAUGAGAGUGAUGUUUCAUGGUGUUGGGAGGAUUUUCAUUGGGUCAAUUGCCUGAUUGAGACAUAGCCUUAGUGAGGUGACAAAUAGCAGGCAUUAAUGUCUCUUUUUUAAUGGUAUGAUGAAUGGUCUAAGAGAAGGGUCAGCAAACUGUAGCCAGCCGCCUGUUUUCGUAAAUAAAUUAUUGGACCACA